CCAAAGUAGCAUUCAAGGCUCAAAGUCACAAAAAUAGGUUUCAUUAAAGAGGUAAAUAUACACUUAUACCCCUUGGGUUAAUUAAUCCAAACCUUAGGGUUUAGAGUUAAGGGGGUGGGGUUUUGGAAUUAGGGUUUAAAAUUUUAUAAAAAAUAAAUACUAAAAUAAAAAUAAAAAUUUUAAAAACAGUUUCAAAAAGUAUUUUUAAAUUAUAAAAAGA
Molecule: long non-coding RNA, 220 nt
Filed under: Brassica rapa (field mustard)
Lineage: Eukaryota; Viridiplantae; Streptophyta; Magnoliopsida; Brassicales; Brassicaceae
Description: long non-coding RNA (BRAP_LNC006526)
Source: RNAcentral